This 752-nucleotide unclassified non-coding RNA is filed under the name Hevea brasiliensis (rubber tree). Lineage: Eukaryota; Viridiplantae; Streptophyta; Magnoliopsida; Malpighiales; Euphorbiaceae. The record is from RNAcentral.
AGCAAAAACCAUAAUUCCUUUUCUCUGUGUUCGUAUCCAAAAAUCUUCAGGCAUAAGGUCUUUAGUCUUUCGAUGCUUUUUUGUUGAGAAUAAGAUGCCACUGUGACUAGAUAUAGUAAUUGAAGGCCUUAUCCAGGAUGAACACUUGUGGAAUCGAAAUCCUCUCAGCAUGCACCUACGUCCUGGCGGAGCUUCACCACCAAAUUGAGUCAAGAUGCGCUCAAAAUAUUUUACAUACCUAAUCUGACUUGGAAGAAUAAGAGCCUUCCCAUCUAUGCAUCUUUUUUGGUUAUAAUAGUUGAUGCAUUCCUCAGCUGUUGGGAAAAACUUCAAGAACAAAAGGAGGCUACAAAUCAUAAGUCCUGUCCUCGCCAUUCCAGCUUUACAGUGUACAACUACCACAUUUAGAAUGUCCUCCUUCAACCAUGAAUAUGCACUUAGGCAGAACAGUUUAAUAAGAUGAAUUGGCGGGCAGUUGUGGUCAUCAAAUGGGAAAGAUGCAACCUUUCCUCCAAAUAAUGAUGCAUCAUACAAUCUCUCUGAACAAAGAUUGUAAACUUUGUAUUUUCCCUGAUGAUGAGUCUCGAAAAAUUUGAUCACUUCCUCCAUGUGAUUCCGAUAGAAUCCCUCCACAUAUCCAAAGAAACCAGAGCUCAUGUCGCCUGCAGGGAAACCCAUAGCUAUGAUGUUCUCGGUUAUGUAAGUCAUAUCCAAAUCAAAUCCAUCCUCCUGGUAUCUUCGUUUGUUUUGAG